CCCCCUAUCGGUCAUCGGCUCGCUCUGCAGGCACACAGGGAACGCGCUUCCGCUGCAGUCUUUGUGACCUCGCUACACAGUUGCUCUCCGUGAGAAGAGAAGCUGUUUGUGUUAUUAACGUUUGUGUUAUCGUUCGUGGACGGUGGAAAACAGCUUUGCUAGGAGCUUUAAACAAUGAUGCCCUUUACUCGAAAUCGACGUGGGCUUAACUUUGGAUAUUGGAGCCUGUUUUUAAUCGUGACGUCGACAAAAACGAAGCUUAUCAGCAGCUUUCACCGUCUUCAUGUUUGCUGACGUGUGGGAUCAGGCACAAAGGAGCUGCUAGUAUGUUUUUAGAGCCUCUGAAUGUCGGGAUGCAGCUGCAGUCGGCUCAGCAGUGAGAACUGAAGACGUCAGUCAAAGAGAAGGAAAAACAGUCAGAGCUGAGAGAGUUUCUACCAGAGCCAAAUGUCAUCUACUCCUCACUGAAGUCGUCCACCAGUCCAACCACUGGGAUCCAGCUGCUGCUCUCUAACUGGUCCACACAGCAGCUCAGACCUGACACAUUCACUGUAAACACACUGGUUUAUAUUCUGUUUGUUCUCCUCAUGAAGGAAACCUCAGAAGAUCUGAAAUGUGAGUGUGUGUCUGCCCCUCAUUGGUUGUUUCUGUCUGAUGGAAACAUGAAUUCUUGUGGCUAACAAACACACCUGUCUGAGAUAACAAAGAACAAACAUGAGUCGACUUCAGCCACAAAGUAAAACCUGCAGGAACGUUUGGUCAGUUUUUGUCUCAGGAGUCAUAAAGAGAACAUCUGUAACAUGUGUCCUCAUUCAGCCUGAGAAUCCUGGAGACUCAGACGAUCAUUUUAACCUCUGCUUUAUAACUAAAGUGCUCAGCAGCAAGUUUUCAUGAAGUCAGACUGAAGUGAAAGAAGGACUCAGACAAAAUCUCUUUAAUGUGUUUAUUUAAAGUUCAUAGAGGAAUGAAUCACUGUUUAUGUGAUGUUUGAUGUUACAGCUGUCUGUGUCACUGUGAGAUAUGAAUGAAUUUACAUUUCUCUAUUUUAACAGGUUCAAAUGUGGUUUGUUUUAUGAUGGAGAUACUUUACUUCAUUAAUAAACGUCCUUCAUCUGCAA
Non-coding RNA from Maylandia zebra (zebra mbuna), 1118 nucleotides. The record is from RefSeq and is a predicted model, not a curated record. Lineage: Eukaryota; Metazoa; Chordata; Actinopteri; Cichliformes; Cichlidae.